UACGUAGGGUGCAAGCGUUAAUCGGAAUUACUGGGCGUAAAGCGUGCGCAGGCGGUGAUGUAAGACAGUUGUGAAAUCCCCGGGCUCAACCUGGGAACUGCAUCUGUGACUGCAUCGCUGGAGUGCGGCAGAGGGGGAUGGAACUCCGCGUGUAGCAGUGAAAUGCGUAGAGAUCGGGCAGAACACCCGUGGCGAAGGCGGCCAGCUGGGCCGGGCCUGACGCUGAGGCGCGAAGGCGUGGGGAGCGAACGGG
This 253-nucleotide ribosomal RNA is filed under the name uncultured bacterium. RNAcentral describes it as "partial 16S ribosomal RNA". It matches the Rfam family "Bacterial small subunit ribosomal RNA", at positions 524 to 776 of the family's 1533-position model. The record is from RNAcentral.